GGCGGCUCGGGUACCGGCCGCUCUGCCUGCAGGCGGGGCGGGCAACUCCCGGGCUUUCGGUGAGGUAAAAUGCGGCGUCGCUUGUUUCUGGCGUACCCUGCGUUCCUGUAAGGUACUGCUGGGAUCUGCAGCUGCAGGGGAAGCACAAGUGGGUCGCGGGUGGCUGAAACUAGGGCUGGAGCAGUUGCUGUUAAGGGGGUUGCUGUAUCAAACGGGGGAGCUGCUGUUUCUCACGUUGUACAACGUGGAAGUCGGUUUUUAAAACAAGCAACAGAACUGCCCGAAGUUGAAGAAAUCAAAAGUCAUCGACUUUACCACAUGGGGUAGCUUAAGGUAAACAGAGGGGAUCUCCACUUUGGUUUCUGUAUUAGGUCAAUUUUAUGCCUUACAGAUCUAAUAAAGUUUUCAAAA
This is a long non-coding RNA of Athene cunicularia (burrowing owl), 411 nucleotides long. RefSeq lists it as uncharacterized. The record is from RefSeq and is a predicted model, not a curated record. The transcript has 2 exons. NCBI's taxonomy places the organism in Eukaryota, Metazoa, Chordata, Aves, Strigiformes, Strigidae.